GGUGAACGCUGGCGGCGUGCCUAACACAUGCAAGUCGAGCGGUGCAGUUUGAAGCUUCGGUGGAAAGCUGCAUAGCGGCGGACGGGUGAGGAAAACGUAGGAACGUGCCCCUUGGAGUUGGAUAGCCACGGGAAACUGUGGGUAAACCGACAUAGACUCGAGAGAGUAAAGGCCGAAAGGCGCCAAGGGAGCGGCCUGCGGCCCAUCAGGUAGUUGGUAGUGUAAAGGACUACCAAGCCGACGACGGGUAGCCGGUCUGAGAGGAUGGCCGGCCACAAGGGCACUGAGAGACGGGCCCUACUCCUACGGGAGGCAGCAGUAGGGAAUAUUGGGCAAUGGGCGGAAGCCUGACCCAGCCAUGCCGCGUGAAGGAAGACGGCCUUAUGGGUUGUAAACUUCUUUACUAUGCGACUAACUAGAUUUACGAGAUAAUUCUAUAGAAUGUAGCAUAGCAAAAGCACCGGCUAACUCCGUG
RNAcentral lists this ribosomal RNA (475 nucleotides) under uncultured bacterium. Its description in RNAcentral is "bacterial SSU rRNA". It matches the Rfam family "Bacterial small subunit ribosomal RNA", at positions 28 to 507 of the family's 1533-position model. The record is from RNAcentral.